This 190-nucleotide ribosomal RNA is filed under the name uncultured bacterium. RNAcentral's name for it is "partial 16S ribosomal RNA". The record is from RNAcentral.
AUUACCGCGGCUGCUGGCACGGAGUUAGCCGAUGCUUAUUCUUACGGUACCAUCAGCUCUGAUGCUCGACCAGAGGUUUUUUCCCGUACAAAAGAAGUUUACAACCCAUAGGGCCUUCUUCCUUCACGCGGCAUGGCUGGUUCAGGCUUGCGCCCAUUGACCAAUAUUCCUUACUGCUGCCUCCCGUAGG